Molecule: ribosomal RNA, 433 nt
Filed under: uncultured bacterium
Lineage: Bacteria
Description: partial 16S ribosomal RNA
Rfam family: Bacterial small subunit ribosomal RNA
Source: RNAcentral
AACGAACGCUGGCGGCAUGCCUAACACAUGCAAGUCGAACGAGACCUUCGGGUCUAGUGGCGCACGGGUGCGUAACGCGUGGGAACCUGCCCUUAGGUUCGGAAUAACUCCCCGAAAGGGGUGCUAAUACCGGAUAAUGUCUUCGGACCAAAGAUUUAUCGCCUUUGGAUGGGGCCGCGUUGGAUUAGCUAGUUGGUAGGGUAAAAGCCUACCAAGGCGACGAUGCAUAGCUGGUCUGAGAGGAUGAUCAGCCACACUGGGACUGAGACACGGCCCAGACUCCUACGCGAGGCAGCAGUGGGGAAUAUUGGACAAGGGGCGAAAGCCUGAUACAGCAAUGCCGCGUGAGUGAUGAAGGCCUUAGGGUUGUAAAGCUCUUUUACCCGGGAUGAUAAUGACAGUACCGGGAGAAUAAGCACCGGCUAACUCCGUG